RNAcentral lists this ribosomal RNA (473 nucleotides) under uncultured bacterium. RNAcentral describes it as "bacterial SSU rRNA". It matches the Rfam family "Bacterial small subunit ribosomal RNA", at positions 355 to 825 of the family's 1533-position model. The record is from RNAcentral.
UGGGGAAUUGUUCACAAUGGGCGCAAGCCCGAUGACGCAACGCCGCGUGGGGGAUGAAGGUCUUCGGAUUGUAAACCCCUGUCGAAUGGGACGAAAGACUCGCGAGUUAAUACUUCGCGGGAGUGACGGUACCGUUAAAGGAAGCCACGGCUAACUCUGUGCCAGCAGCCGCGGUAAUACAGAGGUGGCAAGCGUUGUUCGGAAUUACUGGGCGUAAAGGGCGCGUAGGCGGCCUACUAAGUCAGACGUGAAAUCCCCCGGCUUAACCUGGGAACUGCGUCUGAUACUGGAAGGCUUGAGUAUGGGAGAGGGAUGUAGAAUUCCAGGUGUAGCGGUGAAAUGCGUAGAUAUCUGGAGGAAUACCGGUGGCGAAGGCGGCAUCCUGGACCAUUACUGACGCUGAGGCGCGAAAGCUAGGGGAGCAAACGGGAUUAGAUACCCCAGUAGUCCCUGAGCGGGCUGGCAAGGCGCAU